GCCACCAGUAGAACUUGAACCACGAGCCGUACGCGUUUCUCCGGGGUGGGCGUGGCUGGCUGGGGGAACUGCUUGUUGAGCUGCUCGUUGAAGAUGGCGGAGGCCUGGAACGACUCGGACAUCGACAGCUGGCUCGCCAUGGUCGCUCGCCUUCUCCUGGCUGGUCGGCUGCAGACAAGAGAGGUAUGCCUGUGUCACAAGAUUGCCUGUCAGCUUUGUUUUUAUAAUGGUGAGUAAUGGCUGCAAUACUUCGAGAUCCCCACAUUCGACAGAUUAUUUCUGUCUCUGUCUCAACAAGGUCUCUAUCAAAAGCAAAGACCUGUGCCAGAAAAAGAAUCAGUGCUAUGAGCCUUAUUGAACAACAUAGCAUUUUUGACACCUCUGGUUUCUUUGCUCUUUGAUAGAUAGCUGAAAGAGGUGUUCAAUGGGAUUAGAGAGAGGUAUUCAAUUAACUGAUUCAGAAUCGAUUCUUGACGGUCGGUUUAGAAUACGCUCAAAAUGUUCGACACUAUGUUAUAGUGUUGCAUUCAUAUCUUUUGAUGCGCUAAGAACCAUCUUAGUCAAGAAGGGAAGAAGUACCCAAACGUGGCUGACCAUAAGCACAGCAUGGGCUCUCAAGAAUGUAUAAGUAUUGUUUGUAGCCACCAACUGCUUAGUCUCUCUGGGUCUGUCUUCAUACUAGUCAGUUCUAUAAUUUGCCUCUUUGUAUUCUGAAUGUUUAGUUCUUUGCAAUACCUUGAUGUUUUUCGUUUAGAAUGGGAUUUUGGAUUACUAGCUGAGAACUGCACUACCUUUUGCUUUUCUGCAAUGAGACUCCGAAUCAAAUUAUUUUCAACAAGCCAGUCCUGGUGAAGAUGUCUAGGAGAGCAGGUCGUGAUGCUAUUUUGUAAACUUCCCAGAUUCUUUUAAUGCCAUAGAGGGUGAAUGAGAUGUUGUUCAGUUUGGCUCUUUGGUCUUUUUCAAGUGAUGUUUAAACAGUUUCUUUAUUUUUUGACAGUUUGUUCAUGUCAAGUCUUUUGAUUUCCCUUAAGGACACUUUUUUCGAUACAAUAUCAGUUUGACAUCGCUCACAAUCAGUCUGUGGUCAUUUCCACCGCCAUUCUGCACCGCACAUGGCGCAAGUGACUCUGAUAUCACUCAUGUCUUUACGUUUCACAAUAAUAUAAUCAUUGAGAUACCAGUGCUUUGAGCUGGGACGCACCCGUGAAGAUUUAUAUAUCUUACUGGCAGGUAAAAUGUGAGUCGGUGGUAAAUAGACCAUGUCCUGCACGUUUCUGGAAAACACAUGAAGACCAUUGCUGUUACAUGAGCCCCUGCCAUGUUUACCGAUGACA
Long non-coding RNA from Aplysia californica (California sea hare), 1334 nucleotides. RefSeq lists it as uncharacterized. The record is from RefSeq and is a predicted model, not a curated record. Lineage: Eukaryota; Metazoa; Mollusca; Gastropoda; Aplysiida; Aplysiidae. The transcript is spliced from 2 exons.